Taeniopygia guttata (zebra finch) is the source of this 2129-nucleotide long non-coding RNA. NCBI's taxonomy places the organism in Eukaryota, Metazoa, Chordata, Aves, Passeriformes, Estrildidae. The record is from Ensembl.
GGGAUUUCUGUCACUGUCACACACACACACAAUUGGGAUUCCUGUCACACACACACACACACAAUUGGGAUUUCUGUCACUCUGUCACACACACACAAUUGGGAUUUCUGUCACACACACACACACACAAUUGGAUUUCUGUCACUGUCACACACACACAAUUGGGAUUUCUGUCACACACACACACACACAAUUGGGAUUUCUGUCACACACACACACACACACAAUUGGGAUUUCUGUCACACACACACACACACACAAUUGGGAUUUCUGUCACUGUCACACACACACACACAAUUGGGAUUUCUGUCACACACACACACACACACAAUGGGAUUUCUGUCACUGUCACACACACACACACAAUUGGGAUUUCUGUCACACACACACACAAUUGGGAUUUCUGUCACUGUUCACACACACACAAUUGGGAUUUCUGUCACACACACACACAAUUGGGAUUUCUGUCACUGUCACACACACACAAUUGGGAUUUCUGUCACUGUCACACACACACACAAUUGGGAUUUCCUGUCAACACACACACACAAUUGGGAUUUCUGUCACUGUCACACACACACACAAUUGGGAUUUCUGUCACUGUCACACACACACAAUUGGGAUUUCUGUCACUGUCACACACACACACAAUUGGGAUUUCUGUCACUGUCACACACACACAAUUGGGAUUUCUGUCACACACACACACACACACACACAAUUGGGAUUUCUGUCACACACACACACAAUUGGGAUUUCUGUCACUGUCACACCACACAAUUGGGAUUUCUGUCACACACACGCACAAUUGGGAUUUCUGUCACUGUCACACACACACACACACACACAAUCAGGAUUUUUGUCACCCUCACAGACACAAUCAGAAUUUUUCUGUCACCCCCACACCGUUGGGAAUAGUGAAUAAAUAGGGUUUUUUCCCAUAAAAAUAAAUACAAUAUAAAUAAAUAAAUAGGACACAUUUCCAGCUAAAAUAAAUAAACUUUAAUAAAUCAAUCAAGAUUUAAAAAUAUAAUUAAAUAUAUAUUAAAAAUAAAUAUAUAUUAAAAAAUAAAUAUAUAUUAAAAAAUAAAUAUAUAUUAAAAAUAAAUAUAUAUUAAAAAUUAAAUUUUUAAAACCACCUAAAAUACGUAGAAACAACUAAAAAGAAAAAAUAAAAAUAAAAACAAAUAAACCUCACCCCAAAAAAAUACAAAAUACAAAUCCGCCAACACUAACAAAAAAUAGGAAAAGGAAAAAGAGCUACAAAAGAAAUAUGAAGCCCCUAAAAUAAAAGCAACAAUAAGAAAUUAAAAAAUAAAGCAAAAAUGAAAUUAAAACCCAAAAAAAUAGAUAAAAAGAAAAAGAAAGCCCAGAAAAUACACAAAAAUAAAAUAAAAUCAAGACAAUAAAAAAUAAAAUAAAUAGAAAAAAAACUAAAAAAGAAAUAAAGACCUCCUCAAAUAAAAGCCAUAAUAAAAAUGUAAAAAAUAAAUUAAAAACAAAAUACAAUAAAAACCCUUAAAAAUAAUGAACAUUGAUAAAAAUAGAAAAAUCUUGAAGUAUAAAAAGCAAAAACACUAUAAAAAAUUAAAAUAAAAAUAAGCAACCCAACAGUGUAAAAAUAAAUCUAAAAAUAAACAACUAAAAACUAAAGAAACCCCUCGAAAACCCCAAAUUAAAAUGAAAUAAAAUGAAAUAAAAUAAAAUAAAAUAAAAUAAAAUAAAAUAAAAUAAAAUAAAAUUAAAUAAAAUAAAAUAAAAUAAAAUAAAAUAAAAUAAAAUAAAAUAAAAUAAAAUAAAAUAAGAAAAAAUAGAAAAACAGGAAAAAAACUAAAAAAUAAAUAUUAAAAAACCUUUAAAAACUGCCACAAAAAUAAUAAUAAAAAUAAAAUAGAAAAUAAAAACCCCAAAAUAAAAUUUAGAAAAAUAUCAAAACUAUAAAAUAAUAAAAAAUAAUUGUAGAAUUUAAACAAUUUUGUAAACAUCACAAAGAACUUCUAAAAACUCUUUUAAAUAACCCCAAAAAAUUAAAAAUAAAAUACAGAAAUAAAAUAAAAACACACAAAAAAUUAUAAAAAACCAAAAAAUCACCCCAAAAUUAAAAAUAAACAGAAUAAAAAACAAAAAAU